ACUAAUCUCACUUUGUGUAAUAACACACACGUAUCGGCACAUACGCCGGGGUGCCCUUCGGGGUCGGUCGUAUGGGAUACGUGGAGGCAUAACC
RNAcentral lists this small RNA (94 nucleotides) under Enterobacter sp. CC120223-11. RNAcentral's name for it is "t44 RNA". It matches the Rfam family "t44 RNA". From Rfam's summary of the family: This family consists of a number of bacterial RNA genes of between 135 and 170 bases in length. The t44 gene is found between the map and rpsB genes in all species in the full alignment apart from Shigella flexneri. The function of this RNA is unknown. The record is from RNAcentral. Lineage: Bacteria; Pseudomonadati; Pseudomonadota; Gammaproteobacteria; Enterobacterales; Enterobacteriaceae.